Panicum hallii is the source of this 688-nucleotide long non-coding RNA. RefSeq lists it as uncharacterized. NCBI's taxonomy places the organism in Eukaryota, Viridiplantae, Streptophyta, Magnoliopsida, Poales, Poaceae. The transcript has 3 exons. The record is from RefSeq and is a predicted model, not a curated record.
GCUGCAUCCUCAGCUAACACUUCACUCCCCCGGACACUCGAAGGAGAAGGACCCCCUGAAGGAGGAGGGGGAGGAUAGGAGGAGGAGGAGAGGUAUCUUCUCCGGCCACCAACUGCUAGUCUGCAGCUGAGGUGCACACAGGUGACGGACGUUUCAGUGCUGCUUCAGAGUUGCCUGGCCUAACAGCAUGAUCAUCAGGUGUGUUCAACGCCCGUUUACUCUUUGGUCACGCCAUGGGUCCGAUACACGCUGCCACCGGUGACGGACAAACUUCCCCCUGCCCUACCGCGCUCGGCAGUCGGCACGCGGCCCCUUUCACCACGAUUACACUAUCUCCCAAUGAUUCUUUACUCGACACGCAGUAUAAUAAGCUUUGGUCCUUGUUGCCUCCCUCCAUUUGUUUGGUCUGAUCCCCUGAAGACCUCUGCUCCCGCCAUACGUCUGAAUCCUGGCAAGGCGGAGCUACGCGACGUUCAGAAGCGGACAGUGGACUGGUGACAUCGGGAGACUCCGGUUUGCAUCCUAACAACCAAGGGAGGGAGGGAGGAAAAAAAGAAACUUGUCCUGGCGAUCUGGGAGUGGUAGGUCGUCUGAAAUUUUGCUGUUGUUCUGGAUAGGUGUUGGCGACCUGAUGGAUUGAUGUCCAUCCAGAUGGCUCCAUCGCUAACGCAUGCUUCCUCAUACCUCG